ACAUGGUGUUAAUCGCGCUUGGAGGUGAAAUUUCUUUCAUCUUUGAAGUGAAAAUCAACAACGAAAUCCUCAACAUCAACGAGCGUAACAAUACUGACCAAAAGCAAUAGCGAUCAUCUGCGUAUCUUCCGCGAACAAUAACACAUCACACAGUCUAGCGAAGGUACAUAUAUUCAAUGCGCGCACUAUGAAGAACGAUAAACAAAUCCAAAAAGGCACCAAGUUCAAAAUUAUGAUACAACCAUUACGGAGGAGCUGUAUGUGUUUCUGGACAUGAGAAAUAAUGCUUCAUACCCUGAAGUAGUUAAAUUUACCUUUCGCAUGGGUAGCUGGCGUUCGUCGUAGCAUCGUUAGUACGGAACGGCACAGUCCGUUGAGGCCAUUGUAUGGCAACCAGUCAAGGGUUAAGGUCACGAGAUCCACUGUUUCACCUGCUGGGACGAAACCGUUAAACCGAAAGGUUUCUGAUUUGGCAACGGGGCGAACCUAGUGUUAAGCUACAUAGGUACACGGCAUACGCCAUUGGGAUUAAUCGGAGAAUUCUGUUCGCGAAGCAACGCUAAAUACGUCGUCGGUCAGCGGAAGAAUGGCCAGUUAAUAUGGUUCAUUGAUGACCACCCAUUGAAGGUUAUUCAGUUCGGUCCCAUGAUGAUGCUACCUUAACGAAGUCGCCGAAUACAGGAACCGAAUGCGGAGAAACUAGCAAAACUAGUUUUAAAUAACUCUCUUUAACACUGGCGAUAAAUAAGUGAAAGUCGAUUGUAUGUAGAAGUCGAAGCUAAUUUAUACAUUUUGAUCUACUCAUUUCAACCUCGAACGUUACUCAUCUUAAUUUAAUUCAAUUUUCUCAAUAACGAUAUGAUGUUCUGUAUGUAGAUGGCCAGCGAAUCGCUGGGGAAACUGCGACACGAUUACUCGGUUUGUUUCUUUUUAGUUUUCGGGAGGCGAACUUAUAAACUCAGUUUAUCUUUGUUUACGUAAAAUGCCCAAUAUCGGAUUUCGCUAGGUUCAAGGUUGCUACAUUGGACGGAACAGCCAAUAUAAAAUUUGCUUUUUUUUAAUACUA
This is a long non-coding RNA of Anopheles bellator, 1066 nucleotides long. RefSeq lists it as uncharacterized. Lineage: Eukaryota; Metazoa; Arthropoda; Insecta; Diptera; Culicidae. The transcript is spliced from 2 exons. The record is from RefSeq and is a predicted model, not a curated record.